UGCAUCCAACGAGUUUAUAACCUUGGCCGAUAGGUCUAGGUAAUCUUGUGAGUAUGCAUCGUGAUGGGGAUAGAUUAUUGCAAUUAUUAAUCUUCAACGAGGAAUGCCUAGUAGGCGCAAGUCAGCAGCUUGCGCCGAUUACGUCCCUGCCCUUUGUACACACCGCCCGUCGCUCCUACCGAUUGAGUGUUCCGGUGAGUUAUUCGGACCGUUUUGUGGCGCGUUCGUGCCCGAAAUGGGAAGUUUUGUGAACCUUAACACUUAGAGGAAGGAGAAGUCGUAACAAGGU
RNAcentral lists this ribosomal RNA (289 nucleotides) under Toxoplasma gondii ME49. RNAcentral's name for it is "Toxoplasma gondii rRNA TGME49_461390". It matches the Rfam family "Eukaryotic small subunit ribosomal RNA", at positions 1507 to 1800 of the family's 1831-position model. The record is from RNAcentral. Lineage: Eukaryota; Apicomplexa; Conoidasida; Eucoccidiorida; Sarcocystidae.